UACGUAGGUGGCAAGCGUUGUCCGGAAUUAUUGGGCGUAAAGCGCGCGCAGGCGGACUGAUCAGUCUGGGGUGAAAUCUCCCGGCUCAACUGGGAGCGGUCCCUGGAUACUGUCAGUCUUGAGAGACCUAGAGGAGAGCGGAAUUCCCGGUGUAGUGGUGGAAUGCGUAGAUAUCGGGAAGAACACCAGUGGCGAAAGCGGCUCUCUGGGGGUUUUCUGACGCUGAGGCGCGAAAGCGUGGGGAGCGAACCGG
Molecule: ribosomal RNA, 253 nt
Filed under: uncultured bacterium
Lineage: Bacteria
Description: partial 16S ribosomal RNA
Rfam family: Bacterial small subunit ribosomal RNA
Source: RNAcentral